GUGGGGAAUAUUGGACAAUGGGCGAAAGCCUGAUCCAGCCAUGCCGCGUGUGUGAAGAAGGUCUUCGGAUUGUAAAGCACUUUAAGUUGGGUGGAAGGGUAGUAACCUAAUACGUUGCUACUUUGACGUUACCGACAGAAUAAGCACCGGCUAACUUCGUGCCAGCAGCCGCGGUAAUACGAAGGGUGCAAGCGUUAAUCGGAAUUACUGGGCGUAAAGCGCGCGUAGGUGGUUUUGUAAGUUGGAGGUGAAAUCCCCGGGCUCAACCUGGGAACUGCCUCCAAAACUGCAUGACUAGAGUACGGUAGAGGGUAGUGGAAUUUCCUGUGUAGCGGUGAAAUGCGUAGAUAUAGGAAGGAACACCAGUGGCGAAGGCGACUACCUGGACUGAUACUGACACUGAGGUGCGAAAGCGUGGGGAGCAAACAGGAUUAGAUACCCGUGUAGUCC
RNAcentral lists this ribosomal RNA (450 nucleotides) under uncultured bacterium. Its description in RNAcentral is "partial 16S ribosomal RNA". It matches the Rfam family "Bacterial small subunit ribosomal RNA", at positions 354 to 796 of the family's 1533-position model. The record is from RNAcentral.